This 1373-nucleotide long non-coding RNA is filed under the name Papio anubis (olive baboon). RNAcentral's name for it is "lncRNA (ENSPANG00000039949.1)". Lineage: Eukaryota; Metazoa; Chordata; Mammalia; Primates; Cercopithecidae. The record is from RNAcentral.
AUGGUGCCAUCUCACUGCAACCUCCGCCUCCUGGAUUCAAGCAAUUCUCCUGCUUCAGCAAAGAAGCUGGGAUUACAGACAUGUACACUAAAUUUUCCAGAACUACAACUCUUGUGGAUAAUAAGAUUCUCUGAAAAGAAAUACAUUUUGGUCUGCUGCAUUAUGACAUUGGCAUUUUAUAGCACCAGGAUCGUUGUGAGGAGAACUUGGUUUUCCAGAUGUGCCUGGGAUGCUGGGGGUGGGUGGGUAAGCACGCCUUGUUCUGAGUCUCAGUUACCGUACACAUAAGCCACUUCCUUCAACCUGGCCUUUAUCAAUACUUAAAAGGAUAUUUAGAAUUAGCUUGUCAAGUUCUUUUUUAUUUUUCUGUUCUUUUCUUUUUUUGAGAAGGAGUCUUGCUUAGUCACCCAGGCUGGAGUACAGUUGUGCGAUCUCCGCUCACUGCAACCUCCGCCUCCUGGGUUCAAGCGAUUCUCUCACCUCAGCCUCCCGAGUAGCUGGGAUUACAGGCGUCCACCACCACGCCCGGCUAAUUUUUAUGUUUUAAUAGAGACAGGGUUUCACCAUGUUGGCCAGGCUGGUCUGGAACUCCUGACCUCAAGUGAUCCACCCUCCUCAGCCUCCCAAAGUGCUGUGAUUACAGGCAUGAGCCCCCGCGCCCGACCGGUUUGUCAAGUUCUAUAAAUAAAUGUUGUGAUUUUGAGUGAUUGCACUGGUAUCCUAUGUUUAAUUUUCUGAAGACUUGCCAAACUAUUUUCAAAAACGACUCUACCAUUUUCCAUUUCCACAAGCAUUAUGUGUGUGCGUACAUACACAGUAUGUGCAUAUAUAUGUGUAUAUGUAUAUAUAUCAUAUAUGUAUUCUCAUCAGACAUAUAAUUUGCAGAUAUUUUCUCUCAUUCUGUGGGUUUUUUUACUUCCUUGGUAGUAUCCUUCAAAACACAAAGAUUUUAAUUUUUAUUAAGUCCAAUUUAUUUCUUUCUCUUAUUUGUGUUUUUGAUGUAAUGUAUAAGGACAUACUGUCUAAAGUCAUGAAGAUUUAUACUUUUGGUUUUGUACAGGAGUUUUACAGUUUUAGAUCUUACGUUUAGGUCUUUGAUCCAUUUGGAGUUAACUUUUUUGGUAUAUAUUGUGCAACAGGAAUUCAACUUCAUUCUCUUGCAUGUGGAUAUUCAGUCAUCCAAACCCCAUUCAUUGAAGAGAUUAUUUUUUCCUCACAGAAUGAUUUUGGCACCGUGUCGAAGAUUAAUUGGCCAUACAACUUUAGGUUUAUUUCUGGGCUCAUGAUUCCACUGCAUUGGCCUAUGUGUCUAUCCUUAUGCCAGCACUGCAGUCUUGAUUACUGUAGCAUUGUAGUGAGCUUUGAAAUUGGGA